RNAcentral lists this ribosomal RNA (806 nucleotides) under uncultured eukaryote. Its description in RNAcentral is "SSU rRNA". It matches the Rfam family "Eukaryotic small subunit ribosomal RNA", at positions 57 to 880 of the family's 1831-position model. The record is from RNAcentral.
GUCUAAGUAUAAGUAUUAUACAGCGAAACUGCGAAUGGCUCAUUAAAACAGUUAUAGUUUAUUCGAUUAUUUUCUUCUACAUGGAUAACCGUAGUAAUUCUAGAGCUAAUACAUGCUGUCAAACCUAACUUUUUGGAAGGGUUGUAUUUAUUAGAUAUAAAACCGACACUCCUCACGGAGUUUCGUGAUGAUUCAUAAUAACUGAACGGAUCGCGGCCUUGCCGCGACGAAUCGUUCAAGUUUCUGCCCUAUCAGCUUUCGAUGGUAGUGUAUUGGACUACCAUGGCGAUCACGGGUAACGGGGAAUUAGGGUUCGAUUCCGGAGAGGGAGCCUGAGAAAUGGCUACCACAUCUAAGGAAGGCAGCAGGCGCGUAAAUUACCCAAUCCUAAUUCAGGGAGGUAGUGACAAGAAAUAACAACUCGGACCUCACACGAGGUUACGAGAUUGCAAUGAGAACAAUUUAAACCUCUUAUCGAGUAACAAUUGGAGGGCAAGUCUGGUGCCAGCAGCCGCGGUAAUUCCAGCUCCAAUAGCGUAUAUUAAAGUUGUUGCAGUUAAAAAGCUCGUAGUUGAAUAUCUGGCCGGUGGUGUUCUUGGCUCCCUGAGUCGGUUCAUCGCCUGGUUAUCCGUAUGGGAAACCAGCUCGACCUUCACUGUGUCGGCUGGCGGAUCAUACACUUUACUUUGAAAAAAUUAGAGUGUUUCAGGCAGGCAAUUGCUUGGAUACUGUAGCAUGGAAUAAUGGAAUAGGACUUUGACCUAUUUGUUGGUUUCUCGAGGUCAAAGUAAUGAUUAAUAGGGACA